This 913-nucleotide ribosomal RNA is filed under the name Helicodendron giganteum. Its description in RNAcentral is "LSU rRNA". It matches the Rfam family "Eukaryotic large subunit ribosomal RNA", at positions 38 to 965 of the family's 3401-position model. The record is from RNAcentral. Lineage: Eukaryota; Fungi; Ascomycota; Leotiomycetes; Helotiales; Helotiaceae.
GCAUAUCAAUAAGCGGAGGAAAAGAAACCAACAGGGAUUACCUCAGUAACGGCGAGUGAAGCGGUAACAGCUCAAAUUUGAAAUCUGGCUCUUUCAGGGUCCGAGUUGUAAUUUGUAGACGAUGCUUUGGGUGUGGUACCGGUCUAAGUUCCUUGGAACAGGACGUCAUAGAGGGUGAGAAUCCCGUAUGUGAUCGGUCACCUUCGCCCGUGUAAAGCUCGUUCGACGAGUCGAGUUGUUUGGGAAUGCAGCUCAAAAUGGGUGGUAAAUUUCAUCUAAAGCUAAAUAUUGGCCAGAGACCGAUAGCGCACAAGUAGAGUGAUCGAAAGAUGAAAAGCACUUUGGAAAGAGAGUUAAACAGUACGUGAAAUUGUUGAAAGGGAAGCGCUUGCAACCAGACUUGGGCUGUCGCAAUCAUCUGGGGCUCGCCCCGGUGCACUUGUGGCGGCACAGGCCAGCAUCAGUUUCGGUGGUGGGAUAAAGGCCUUGGGAAUGUAGCUUCUUUCGGGGAGUGUUAUAGCCCUCGGUGCAAUGCCGCCUACCGGGACUGAGGACCGCGCUUCGGCUAGGAUGCUGGCGUAAUGGUUGUAAGCGACCCGUCUUGAAACACGGACCAAGGAGUCUAACAUCUAUGCGAGUGUUUGGGUGUCAAACCCAUACGCGUAAUGAAAGUGAACGGAGGUGAGAACCCGUUAGGGUGCAUCAUCGACCGAUCCUGAUGUCUUCGGAUGGAUUUGAGUAAGAGCAUAGCUGUUGGGACCCGAAAGAUGGUGAACUAUGCCUAAAUAGGGUGAAGCCAGAGGAAACUCUGGUGGAGGCUCGCAGCGGUUCUGACGUGCAAAUCGAUCGUCAAAUUUGGGGUAUAGGGGGCGAAAGACUAAUCGAAACCAUCUAGUAGCUGGUUCCUGCCGAA